ACAUGCAAGUCGAGCGGUAACAGAAAGUAGCUUGCUAUUUUGCUGACGAGCGGCGGACGGGUGAGUAAUGCUUGGGAACAUACCUUGAGGUGGGGGACAACAGUUGGAAACGACUGCUAAUACCGCAUAAUGUCUACGGACCAAAGGGGGCUUAGGCUCUCGCCUUUAGAUUGGCCCAAGUGGGAUUAGCUAGUUGGUGAGGUAAUGGCUCACCAAGGCAACGAUCCCUGGCUGGUUUGAGAGGAUGAUCAGCCACACUGGAACUGAGACACGGUCCAGACUCCUACGGGAGGCAGCAGUGGGGAAUAUUGCACAAUGGGCGAAAGCCUGAUGCAGCCAUGCCGCGUGUGUGAAGAAGGCCUUCGGGUUGUAAAGCACUUUCAGUCAGGAGGAAAGGGUGUGAGUUAAUACCUCACAUCUGUGACGUUACUGACAGAAGAAGCACCGGCUAACUCCGUGCCAGCAGCCGCGGUAAUACGGAGGGUGCGAGCGUUAAUCGGAAUUACUGGGCGUAAAGCGUACGCAGGCGGUUUGUUAAGCGAGAUGUGAAAGCCCCGGGCUCAACCUGGGAACUGCAUUUCGAACUGGCAAACUAGAGUGUGAUAGAGGGUGGUAGAAUUUCAGGUGUAGCGGUGAAAUGCGU
RNAcentral lists this ribosomal RNA (643 nucleotides) under uncultured bacterium. Its description in RNAcentral is "bacterial SSU rRNA". It matches the Rfam family "Bacterial small subunit ribosomal RNA", at positions 53 to 691 of the family's 1533-position model. The record is from RNAcentral.